Balaenoptera musculus (blue whale) is the source of this 321-nucleotide long non-coding RNA. RefSeq lists it as uncharacterized. The transcript has 3 exons. Lineage: Eukaryota; Metazoa; Chordata; Mammalia; Artiodactyla; Balaenopteridae. The record is from RefSeq and is a predicted model, not a curated record.
GGCGCCCAAGCCUGGGGGCGGGAGAGCGGCGCGGAGCCGCAGCCUCGACACGGUCUCCUCUGCGCUCCCGAAGUUGCCUCUCCAGUGUCUCCUCCUCUCUCUUUCCUUUUGCCCUGCAGAUGUUUAGGUGGUUUGGCUAUUCUUUGCAGUUCCAUAAAAGUUUUAGCAUCAGCCUGUCAAUUUCUACAAAAAGUCCUGUUGGGAGUUUGACUUUAAUUGCAUUGAGUCUAUAGAUUAAUUCAAGGACAGUUGACAUCUUUAUGAUACUGAGUCUUCAGAUCCAUGAACAAGCUGAGCCAUGCAGCAUGCAGGAUCUUCCCC